RNAcentral lists this ribosomal RNA (446 nucleotides) under uncultured bacterium. Its description in RNAcentral is "SSU rRNA". It matches the Rfam family "Bacterial small subunit ribosomal RNA", at positions 26 to 518 of the family's 1533-position model. The record is from RNAcentral.
AGAGCGAACGCUGGCGGCAGGCUUAACACAUGCAAGUCGAGCGGGCGUAGCAAUACGUCAGCGGCAGACGGGUGAGUAACGCGUGGGAACGUACCUUUUGGUUCGGAACAACCCAGGGAAACUUGGGCUAAUACCGGAUAAGCCCUUACGGGGAAAGAUUUAUCGCCGAAAGAUCGGCCCGCGUCUGAUUAGCUAGUUGGUGGGGUAAUGGCCCACCAAGGCGACGAUCAGUAGCUGGUCUGAGAGGAUGAUCAGCCACAUUGGGACUGAGACACGGCCCAAACUCCUACGGGAGGCAGCAGUGGGGAAUAUUGGACAAUGGGCGCAAGCCUGAUCCAGCCAUGCCGCGUGAGUGAUGAAGGCCCUAGGGUUGUAAAGCUCUUUUGUGCGGGAAGAUAAUGACGGUACCGCAAGAUAAGCCCGGCUAACUUCGCGCCAGCAGCCGC